Sitophilus oryzae (rice weevil) is the source of this 162-nucleotide small nuclear RNA. RefSeq annotates it as U4 spliceosomal RNA. The record is from RefSeq and is a predicted model, not a curated record. NCBI's taxonomy places the organism in Eukaryota, Metazoa, Arthropoda, Insecta, Coleoptera, Curculionidae. The transcript has a single exon.
AGCUUUGCGCAGUGGCAUUAUCGUAACCAAUGAGGUUUAUCCGAGGUGCGAUUAUUGCUGGUAGACGAACAGGAAAUUGAUUAAAAAAGGCAAAAAUUGUUUGCAUUGAGCGAACGACGGAUCUUUCUGUCGUUCGCUUUUUUUAUGCAAAAAUUUUUUUUU